This 1528-nucleotide ribosomal RNA is filed under the name Escherichia coli. Its description in RNAcentral is "partial 23S ribosomal RNA". It matches the Rfam family "Bacterial large subunit ribosomal RNA", at positions 353 to 1869 of the family's 2925-position model. Lineage: Bacteria; Pseudomonadati; Pseudomonadota; Gammaproteobacteria; Enterobacterales; Enterobacteriaceae. The record is from RNAcentral.
CGUGAUACAGGGUGACAGCCCCGUACACAAAAAUGCACAUGCUGUGAGCUCGAUGAGUAGGGCGGGACACGUGGUAUCCUGUCUGAAUAUGGGGGGACCAUCCUCCAAGGCUAAAUACUCCUGACUGACCGAUAGUGAACCAGUACCGUGAGGGAAAGGCGAAAAGAACCCCGGCGAGGGGAGUGAAAAAGAACCUGAAACCGUGUACGUACAAGCAGUGGGAGCACGCUUAGGCGUGUGACUGCGUACCUUUUGUAUAAUGGGUCAGCGACUUAUAUUCUGUAGCAAGGUUAACCGAAUAGGGGAGCCGAAGGGAAACCGAGUCUUAACUGGGCGUUAAGUUGCAGGGUAUAGACCCGAAACCCGGUGAUCUAGCCAUGGGCAGGUUGAAGGUUGGGUAACACUAACUGGAGGACCGAACCGACUAAUGUUGAAAAAUUAGCGGAUGACUUGUGGCUGGGGGUGAAAGGCCAAUCAAACCGGGAGAUAGCUGGUUCUCCCCGAAAGCUAUUUAGGUAGCGCCUCGUGAAUUCAUCUCCGGGGGUAGAGCACUGUUUCGGCAAGGGGGUCAUCCCGACUUACCAACCCGAUGCAAACUGCGAAUACCGGAGAAUGUUAUCACGGGAGACACACGGCGGGUGCUAACGUCCGUCGUGAAGAGGGAAACAACCCAGACCGCCAGCUAAGGUCCCAAAGUCAUGGUUAAGUGGGAAACGAUGUGGGAAGGCCCAGACAGCCAGGAUGUUGGCUUAGAAGCAGCCAUCAUUUAAAGAAAGCGUAAUAGCUCACUGGUCGAGUCGGCCUGCGCGGAAGAUGUAACGGGGCUAAACCAUGCACCGAAGCUGCGGCAGCGACGCUUAUGCGUUGUUGGGUAGGGGAGCGUUCUGUAAGCCUGUGAAGGUGUACUGUGAGGUAUGCUGGAGGUAUCAGAAGUGCGAAUGCUGACAUAAGUAACGAUAAAGCGGGUGAAAAGCCCGCUCGCCGGAAGACCAAGGGUUCCUGUCCAACGUUAAUCGGGGCAGGGUGAGUCGACCCCUAAGGCGAGGCCGAAAGGCGUAGUCGAUGGGAAACAGGUUAAUAUUCCUGUACUUGGUGUUACUGCGAAGGGGGGACGGAGAAGGCUAUGUUGGCCGGGCGACGGUUGUCCCGGUUUAAGCGUGUAGGCUGGUUUUCCAGGCAAAUCCGGAAAAUCAAGGCUGAGGCGUGAUGACGAGGCACUACGGUGCUGAAGCAACAAAUGCCCUGCUUCCAGGAAAAGCCUCUAAGCAUCAGGUAACAUCAAAUCGUACCCCAAACCGACACAGGUGGUCAGGUAGAGAAUACCAAGGCGCUUGAGAGAACUCGGGUGAAGGAACUAGGCAAAAUGGUGCCGUAACUUCGGGAGAAGGCACGCUGAUAUGUAGGUGAAGUCCCUCGCGGAUGGAGCUGAAAUCAGUCGAAGAUACCAGCUGGCUGCAACUGUUUAUUAAAAACACAGCACUGUGCAAACACGAAAGUGGACGUAUACGGUGUGACGCCUGCCCGGUGC